UUGGACAUGGGGGGAACCCUGAUCCAGCCAUGCCGCGUGUGUGAAGAAGUGCCUUUUGGUUGUAAAGCACUUUAAGCGAGGAGGAGGAGCUCUUGGUUAAUACCCAAGAUGCUUGGACGUUACUCGCAGAAUAAGCACCGGCUAACUCUGUGCCAGCAGCCGCGGUAAUACAGAGGGUGCAAGCGUUAAUCGGAUUUACUGGGCGUAAAGCGCGCGUAGGUGGCCAAUUAAGUCAAAUGUGAAAUCCCCGAGCUUAACUUGGGAAUUGCAUUCGAUACUGGUUGGCUAGAGUAUGGGAGAGGAUGGUAGAAUUCCAGGUGUAGCGGUGAAAUGCGUAGAGAUCUGGAGGAAUACCGAUGGCGAAGGCAGCCAUCUGGCCUAAUACUGACACUGAGGUGCGAAAGCAUGGGGAGCAAACAGGAUUAGAUACCCUGGUAGUCCAUGCCGUAAACGAUGUCUACUAGCCGUUGGGGCCUUUGAGGCUUUAGUGGCGCAGCUAACGCGAUAAGUAGACCGCCUGGGGAGUACNGUCGCAAGACUAGACUCAAAUGAAUAGACAGGGGCCCGCACAAGCGGUGGAGCAUGUGGUAUAAUACGAUGCAACGCGA
Molecule: ribosomal RNA, 608 nt
Filed under: bacterium T-2-0-8E
Lineage: Bacteria
Description: bacterial SSU rRNA
Rfam family: Bacterial small subunit ribosomal RNA
Source: RNAcentral